Molecule: ribosomal RNA, 249 nt
Filed under: uncultured bacterium
Lineage: Bacteria
Description: partial 16S ribosomal RNA
Rfam family: Bacterial small subunit ribosomal RNA
Source: RNAcentral
UACGUAGGUGGCAAGCGUUAUCCGGAAUUAUUGGGCGUAAAGCGCGCGCAGGUGGUUUCUUAAGUCUGAUGUGAAAGCCCACGGCUCAACCGUGGAGGGUCAUUGGAAACUGGGAGACUUGAGUGCAGAAGAGGAAAGUGGAAUUCCAUGUGUAGCGGUGAAAUGCGUAGAGAUAUGGAGGAACACCAGUGGCGAAGGCGACUUUCUGGUCUGUAACUGACACUGAGGCGCGAAAGCGUGGGGAGAAAC